UCCUACGGGAGGCAGCAGUGGGGAAUAUUGCGCAAUGGAGGGAACUCUGACGCAGCGACGCCGCGUGAAGGAAGAAGGCCUUCGGGUUGUAAACUUCUUUGAUCGGGGACGAAAAUGACGGUACCCGAGGAACAAGCCACGGCUAACUACGUGCCAGCAGCCGCGGUAAUACGUAGGUGGCAAGCGUUGUCCGGAAUUACUGGGCGUAAAGGGCGUGUAGGCGGGGCGUCAAGUCAGGUGUGAAAUUCCGAGGCUUAACUUCGGGUGUGCAUCUGAAACUGAUGUUCUUGAGUGUCGGAGAGGAAAGUGGAAUUCCCAGUGUAGCGGUGAAAUGCGUAGAGAUUGGGAGGAACACCAGUGGCGAAGGCGGCUUUCUGGACGAUAACUGACGCUGAGGCGCGAAAGCGUGGGUAGCAAACAGGAUUAGAUACCCUGGUAGUCCACGCCGUAAACGAUGGAUACUAGGUGUAGGAGGUAUCGACCCCUUCUGUGCCGGAGUUAACACAAUAAGUAUCCCACCUGGGGAGUACGGCCGCAAGGCUGAAACUCAAAGGAAUUGACGGGGGCCCGCACAAGCAGUGGAGUAUGUGGUUUAAUUCGAAGCAACGCGAAGAACCUUACCAGGGCUUGACAUCCCUCUGACAGGUAUAGAGAUAUACUUUCUUUUCGAAGCAGAGGAGACAGGUGGUGCAUGGUUGUCGUCAGCUCGUGUCGUGAGAUGUUGGGUUAAGUCCCGCAACGAGCGCAACCCCUGUUGUUAGUUGCCAUCAUUAAGUUGGGCACUCUAACGAGACUGCCGGUGACAAAUCGGAGGAAGGUGGGGACGACGUCAAAUCAUCAUGCCCCUUAUGUCCUGGGCUACACACGUACUACAAUGGCGGUGACAAAGGGAAGCAAGACCGCGAGGUGGAGCAAAUCCCCAAAAGCCGUCCCAGUUCGGAUUGCAGGCUGCAACUCGCCUGCAUGAAGUCGGAAUUGCUAGUAAUGGCAGGUCAGCAUACUGCCGUGAAUACGUUCCCGGGCCUUGUACACACCGCCCGUCACACCAUGAGAGCUGACAACACCCGAAGUCGGUAGCUUAACCGUAAGGAGGGCGCCGCCGAAGGUGGGGUUGGUGAUUGGGGGUGAAGUCGUAACAAGGUAACCA
This 1147-nucleotide ribosomal RNA is filed under the name uncultured bacterium. RNAcentral's name for it is "bacterial SSU rRNA". It matches the Rfam family "Bacterial small subunit ribosomal RNA", at positions 337 to 1502 of the family's 1533-position model. The record is from RNAcentral.